UUGGGUUAAGUCCGUAACGAGCGCAACCCUGUCCUUAGUUACCAGCACGUUAUGGUGGGCGACUCUAAGGAGACUGCCGGUGACAAACCGGAGGAAGGUGGGGAUGACGUCAAGUCAUCAUGGCCCUUACGGCCUGGGCUACACACGUGCUACAAUGGUCGGUACAAAGGGUUGCCAAGCCGCGAGGUGGAGCUAAUCCCAUAAAACCGAUCGUAGUCCGGAUCGCAGUCUGCAACUCGACUGCGUGAAGUCGGAAUCGCUAGUAAUCGUGAAUCAGAAUGUCACGGUGAAUACGUUCCCGGGCCUU
RNAcentral lists this ribosomal RNA (307 nucleotides) under uncultured Pseudomonas sp. RNAcentral describes it as "bacterial SSU rRNA". It matches the Rfam family "Bacterial small subunit ribosomal RNA", at positions 1075 to 1382 of the family's 1533-position model. Lineage: Bacteria; Pseudomonadati; Pseudomonadota; Gammaproteobacteria; Pseudomonadales; Pseudomonadaceae. The record is from RNAcentral.